Molecule: long non-coding RNA, 1910 nt
Organism: Oreochromis aureus
Lineage: Eukaryota; Metazoa; Chordata; Actinopteri; Cichliformes; Cichlidae
Exons: 4
Source: RefSeq, a predicted model, not a curated record
AUCAUCAUCAUCAUUAACUAUUGUUAAAAAAAAAAAUAGAAUUUCCUAAAUAUGGGAUAAGGAAAGUAUUUCAUAUCUUAUUUUAAUCUUAUUUUUUAUUGAACUGCAUUGCAAGAAUAACACAAUAAUGCUUGCAUUUGGAAAGUUUUUUUUCAUGCAAAAAGUAUAUGAGUCAUUGCUAUUUAAAACAAUAUAAGUUGAAGAAAAAAAAAUUAUUGUGUUCACCUAGGGAUUACUGCUUCUUUUUCUUCUACUUCUACCUUAUGGUCUCUCUGCUGUCAUUAAGUGAAAUUCAGUUUUUCCACUGUUAAUGGUGGCACAGGCACUUCAUUCAAAUAUUGCCAAGUCUUCUGAUGGUGUAGUUAAAACCUUAAUGCAUAUUUUUGUGAGAUUACUGGAAAAGUGAACGUACUGUUAAAUUGUUCUGCAAUUUCAUACAGUUGUUCUGGUUCAAACACUGGAGACUGGCUGUCUUAUACUUAUGUGUGUGCCUCAUCUGAGAAACUAAAGUUUUCUGGCACAUAGUUCACGCUGACUGCGUGAGAUGACAAAGUUCAGAGUCUUUGUCCAUAAAACCAAAACCUCAUCCAAUUUGAAUUUGGGCGAUCUUUCCCUUCAAGGUCAAGAUUUCGUGCACCUCUGGAUUUCUUUCUGCGUUUUUACUAGUUUUAGAUAUUUCCCAGGAAGUUCCAGUAUGAAAAAUUUCACAUCUUUCUGUGAAUAUCACCAUGGACCACCAGACUUAAAAAGAGAGCAAACACAUUUCGAUGAGAGAGGGGCUUCUGAAAACUGAGGUUAGUUGUCUUGUUCAUUAUAACUAAGAUAUCAAAGUAAAGAUGCACCAAUUCCAACAGUGAGCUGCCAAUUCCGAUUCUCUAAAACUAUACUUACAGCUAUAACUGACAGCACAUAGACAGCACGUACAAACAAAAGUCAACUUUUCUGAAUUGUUAAACUGCAGGUUCUUCUCUCAUUGAAGCAACUGAGAAUAAACUGAGAAUUUACAUGAUAUUUUUUAUCUUGCUAAAGAGAAGCAGGUGAAACAGGUUAAUAUAACAAUACAAAUGUCAGGUACUUGCAUCAUUUUUCAGUAUAUUUAUAACUUUACCAGAUAAGAUGACACAGACUCUUUUUCUCUUUCUCACCCAUCUAUAAUUUUCCUCGUAACUGCUUUGACCUUUUUCUUAUACCAAGGCUGCUAGCUUAUGGCUGGAUCUAAACUUGUUAACUUUAGCUGUAGCCACGUUACCUUUAUUAGCUUCUUUAAAAUGUCCAUUUUCAGCUGGUGAGGGUGAUUUAAGUGUCUGAUUAGGUCUCUUGCUAAGAACAUUUGCCGGUUCUGUCCCAAUUUACUUUGCCAGUUUUGUGUUUUCCCUACUCACAGUGAAGAACUCGCUAAUGGCCACAGCCAAAUGCUAGCGGGUGGCUGCAUGACAAGGACCAUCUCACAAUUGGGUGCACGUGAGGCUAGCCGACAGUAUACAUGUUUGAGAACAGAUGACCAUGCAACAUCACCUCCAUGGACCCAGACAUUUUGUGUCUACAACAAAUAGCAGGAUUCACUGGAAGAAUCCACAAUUUUUACAAGUCUGAAUAUCAUGUAUCAGCACCCAAACUUGGAAUACUCCUUGCAGAAGGCCAAUGGCUGCCUGGGCUCAAAUGGAGGCUUGUAAUCCAAACACUGAGGGUGACAGCUCCCCCACCAGAUACGGAGGAGCAACAGCAGGAUGGGGAGAAGGUGGUGAGGGGAGAAGGUGUGCUGCAAGAUGCAUCUGGGGACCAAAUUGCAGAUUCAGGCAGCCAUCAGUGUGCUUAUGUCUAGAGGUGUGAAUGUGUGUAUGAAGCACACUGACCCUCCAUCACAGCUGCCUGCCAGCUGGCCAGAAACCUACAAAAUACUCAGGAUAGCU